Molecule: long non-coding RNA, 2120 nt
Organism: Gallus gallus (chicken)
Lineage: Eukaryota; Metazoa; Chordata; Aves; Galliformes; Phasianidae
Source: Ensembl
GACAACUAAUUUCUUUUCUCUUUUUAUAUACCAUAGACUUGAAAAACAAGGGCGAAGAUUAGUUUUGAUGAUUAGCUGCUUAAAAUAAACUGUUUCAUAUAAAUUUUUGAAGAAGCAAAGUUUGAAGCAUUCCUUACAAAAAAAGAUUUGUAUAAAUGACCUUUUAAAUUAUGUCUUUUAGAUUUUUAAGCAGUUAUAUAUAUUACAUGUGAAAUCAGUGUAUAUAAUAUUAAGAUUAGGAGAUGACUUUGUUACUUCUGAUAGAGAUUUAAUUUAAUUGCUGCUGACUAUUUUCAAUGUCAAAUGAGGUAACAGACUUUCAAAUAAUCAGCAGUUAAACUUUAUUUUUCUAAAAAAUAAAAAGUGCCGAAUCUUCAUAUAACACUACAAUACACUUCAGCUUUUGGUUGUUAGCCAACAGUGAUCCAGGUUUCAUAAACAUUACUUGUACACCAUUACAGACAAGGAAGAAUCCAUACAUUAUUAGAAAUAAAUGUUAACUUGUUUACCAGAUGACCUAAGUGUUUUUUUCUUUGGUGAAUCAGGCAUGCUAUAUGCUAUAUUUGUGUAGAUGCAGUAUUGUGUCAAGCACAGACACAGUGAAUUAAAAAUGGGGGUCCUAGCUGAUUCACCCAGAUUUUGAGUUCCUCUUUAUAAGACAGAAAACUGAAGGUAAAAUUUCUUCCAUUUCCCUAAAAUAACCAACAAUUUAGUGUUUUUAUGGGAAUUACUGAAUGAAACACUGCUGUUAAAAAUCACAUUGAUAGACCAACUUAGCAGUAAAGUUAACCACACUAUGAAAUUAAUUGCAAUUUAUCUAGCAAAAUGAAAAGGUGUUUCUUCCAUAGCUACUACUUUUAUCUGAUCACUGCUGAUAAUGCAGGCCCAUGCUUGUACACAGACACAUAAUAUCUGUCUGUAGAGAGUUUUGUAAUUGAGCCUUUGAAUAGGAAUGUAUUUCGUCAGCCUUUUGCAAAUGAGCGAUGACAACACAGAAGAGACUGCUUGCUGCUUCCCUUCCACAUCACUGCUGUACUUUUGCUAUUCUUUAUUGAGAGCACUAAGGAUAUUUAUUAAUAAAAAUUGAAAAGCAGUUAUUAUUUAUAGUUUAAUAAGUAAUGUUUUUAGUUCUGUAGCAGAAAAAAAUUAUUAUAAGACUCAAGCAAGUUUUCACCAAAAAAGAAAGACUAUGUUUUAUAUUCAUUAGUAUAGUAGACUUCUGCAAUUUUUUUUUGUUUUAAAAACUCCAUAGCACUCAAGAUAACAAAAAAAGGUUUAAGGAAUGACCUUAUUACAUCCUGUAGCUGUGUAAGUUUCAAGUUUUCUAUUUGUCUUAGUGGUUGUCUCACUCCAAUUUAUAGGAGGGAGAGGAGGUUCUCUGAUACAUGUAUACCUGGCGUGAGAUUAAGAAAUAAUGGUUCAAAUGUUGGUCCGACCAGUUUAUUACAAAUCUUAAGAAGGGAGAUGGGGAAAGGGAGGACAGACACUAUUAUGGAUUAGAGUGAUGGGGAAGGGACAGCGAGCGAUAGAAAAGAAAGGAAAUAGAAGCGAGGAGUCUUUAUAGGUACAAAUUAGAGUGAUGGGGAAGGGAAGAAGGGAAGCAGAAAAGAUAGGAAAUAGGAGCAAGCAGCUCUGGAGGAAGGUGCCUUCAAAUGUCGAAGUGAUGUUGAUUGUCACAUGGUAGCACCCAUCAUUUGCCACCUCCAUAAAUCAGUUAGAGUCUUAUCAGUUAGAUUCUUAGUGUCUUCACAAGAAAUACUUCAGGAAGCAAGCUUUGAGACAGAAGACAAAGAAGGGUUCUCACAGUGGUAAAAAUAAAAAUGUUUUUCUCGAAGUCAUUCUGAUCAGAUAGGAGAUGCCGGUAAAGGCAGCAGUGGGAAAAAGCUGUUGGAGAAGAACUGAUGUCUUAACUUUCCAGUAAGUGUUCUUAAUCCAGUAAAGAAAUAAAUUCUGAAAGAACUGAUGGAAUAUUUGCAGCAGCAGAAAUAAUGUAUGCAAUAGCACUGACAAUCCUGCAAGCCAUAAGACCUACUGUGUAUACACAAAGCUACAGUGCACAUGGGCAGGAUUAUUUGGCAUUGUUUAGAUUCUGGAUAUGGUAGAUGCCUGGUACAUAUAAG